GUAGGUGGCAAGCGUUGUCCGGAAUUAUUGGGCGUAAAGCGCGCGCAGGUGGUUCUUUAAGUCUGAUGUGAAAGCCCCCGGCUCAACCGGGGAGGGUCAUUGGAAACUGGGGAACUUGAGUGCAGGAGAGGAAAGUGGAAUUCCACGUGUAGCGGUGAAAUGCGUAGAUAUGUGGAGGAACACCAGUGGCGAAGGCGACUUUCUGGCCUGUAACUGACACUGAGGCGCGAAAGCGUGGGGAGCAAACAGGAUUAGAUACCAUGGUAGUCCACGCCGUAAACGAUGAGUGCUAAGUGUUGGGGGGGUUUCCCGCCCCUCAGUGCUGCAGCUAACGCAUUAAGCACUCCGCCUGGGGAGUACGGUCGCAAGACUG
This 373-nucleotide ribosomal RNA is filed under the name uncultured organism. Its description in RNAcentral is "partial 16S ribosomal RNA". It matches the Rfam family "Bacterial small subunit ribosomal RNA", at positions 527 to 896 of the family's 1533-position model. The record is from RNAcentral.